GUGACAGCAGCCGCGGUAAGACGAAGGGGGCUAGCGUUGUUCGGAAUUACUGGGCGUAAAGGGCGCGUAGGCGGUUUGUUAAGUCAGGCGUGAAAGCCCUGGGCUCAACCUGGGAUGUGCGUUUGAUACUGGCAAGCUUGAGUGCAGGAGAGGAUGGUGGAAUUCCCAGUGUAGAGGUGAAAUUCGUAGAUAUUGGGAAGAACACCGGUGGCGAAGGCGGCCAUCUGGACUGCAACUGACGCUGAGGCGCGAAAGCGUGGGGAGCAAACAGGAUUAGAAACCCUCGUAGUCC
RNAcentral lists this ribosomal RNA (292 nucleotides) under uncultured bacterium. Its description in RNAcentral is "partial 16S ribosomal RNA". It matches the Rfam family "Bacterial small subunit ribosomal RNA", at positions 505 to 796 of the family's 1533-position model. The record is from RNAcentral.